GACGAAGGAUGCAAGCGUUAUCCGGAUUCAUUGGGUUUAAAGGGAGCGUAGGUGGCCUUAUAAGUCAGUGGUGAAAUCUCUCGGCUUAACUGAGAAAUUGCCAUUGAUACUGUAGGGCUUGAGUACAGUUGCUGUGGGCGGAAUAUGACAUGUAGUGGUGAAAUGCGCAGAUAUCAGGAGGAACACCGGUGGCGAAGGCGGGUCUCUGGGCCGAUACUGACGCUGAGGAGCGAAAGCGUGGGGAGCGAACAGG
Molecule: ribosomal RNA, 253 nt
Filed under: uncultured bacterium
Lineage: Bacteria
Description: partial 16S ribosomal RNA
Rfam family: Bacterial small subunit ribosomal RNA
Source: RNAcentral